This 431-nucleotide ribosomal RNA is filed under the name uncultured bacterium. RNAcentral's name for it is "partial 16S ribosomal RNA". It matches the Rfam family "Bacterial small subunit ribosomal RNA", at positions 29 to 507 of the family's 1533-position model. The record is from RNAcentral.
AGCGAACGCUGGCGGCAGGCUUAACACAUGCAAGUCGAGCGCCCCGCAAGGGGAGCGGCAGAAGGGAGAGUAACACGUGGGAACAUACCUUUUGGUUCGGAACAACUGAGGGAAACUUCAGCUAAUACCGGAUAAGCCCUUACGUGGAAAGAUUUAUCGCCGAAAGAUUGGCCCGCGUCUGAUUAGCUAGUUGGUGAGGUAACGGCUCACCAAGGCAACGAUCAGUAGCUGGUCUGAGAGGAUGAUCAGCCUCACUGGGACUGAGACACGGCCCAGACUCCUACGGGAGGCAGCAGUGGGGAAUAUUGGACAAUGGGGGCAACCCUGAUCCAGCCAUGCCGCGUGAGUGAUGAAGGCCUUAGGGUUGUAAAGCUCUUUUGCCCGGGAAGAUAAUGACGGUACCGGGAGAAUAAGCCCCGGCUAACUUCGUG